UAAACCAUAUAAGCGGAGAACUUACCCUCGUCCUUACAGUACUUCGAUUAAAUGCUGAAUUGACUCUUGACCAGAUCUGCUGCGUCGAUGUCGUUCUUUUGCCUAAAUGGCAGUAUGAUUAAACGCAGAAUUAAUGAAACGAAAUAACCGAAAAAGUAUUUCGAGACCAAAAAACGUUAAGAAAACGUAUACCUGUCAAAUUAUUGGAAAUAAUGACCCGGGAGAAGUUCUCUAUUGGUUUUGGCUCCAACAAUUUUCUUG
Molecule: long non-coding RNA, 261 nt
Organism: Drosophila santomea
Lineage: Eukaryota; Metazoa; Arthropoda; Insecta; Diptera; Drosophilidae
Exons: 2
Source: RefSeq, a predicted model, not a curated record